Phyllostomus discolor (pale spear-nosed bat) is the source of this 147-nucleotide long non-coding RNA. RefSeq lists it as uncharacterized. Lineage: Eukaryota; Metazoa; Chordata; Mammalia; Chiroptera; Phyllostomidae. The transcript has 3 exons. The record is from RefSeq and is a predicted model, not a curated record.
AGGCAAGAAAUUUUAAAGGGGCUACAAAACAAAUCAACUGUCUCCUUUUUAAAUUAAUCCUAAAUCAUAAACUACAAUUGGAGAUCCCAGUUGGCAAGGUCCAAGGUGUGUCAGUGUGACCCCUGCCUGGAGUUGAGGCUUUGGAGA